CCACCCCUGCCCUAGGCAAUUCCCUGGGUUCCCCAUAUGCCAAUUAUAGGGCUCUCUAUAGAAACCCCCACCUCCUUUCCAUCCUGUCAGUCAAUUCUAUGGCUUGGUUUGCAUGGCAGACUCUCCAGCCUCCUUUUCUAGGUAAGACCCAUAGAAUUCUUCUUCCAUUUAUAGAUGUGCUGGAGCAGACAAACCAGCCUGGCUGCAGUAGAAAGUCAUCCUGAGAGAGAGAACAGAAGCAACAUGUGCCAGGAAGACCAAACCUCAUCUGUAAGAGGAGGUUGGACUAAAGAUCUCUAAGGCACCUUCUGCUUCCAAAUCCUACUACUUAAAGAUGAAAUUAUAUUUAAUAAAAACGAUGUCCUGGAACAGACAAACCAGCCUAGCUGCAGUAGAAAGUCAUCCUGAGGGAGAGAGAUAGGAAGCAGCAUGUGCCAGGAAGACCAAACCACCUUUUGGACUUUGAGCCCAAGAGCUCUGGGAACACCGUUGGCACCAGACCACCAUCUCUGCUCGGAAUCCAGACUCCUAGUCAUAUUCCAGGAGAGCAAUCCCCAAACUGCCACCCCCUGCCACUAACACUGCCAAUUGCUGACAACUGCUGAAGAUGGGAGGAGAGAAGAGGAAGGGAAGGCAACGAUCAUUUAUAAAGUGUCUACUAUGUUCCAGCACUGUGUUUAGCACUUUCACAAACAUUAUCUCAUUUUUGUCUCAUUUGAUUGAUUAGGACAAGUAAACCCAAGAGUCCCAGAAGAGUGAGGCCCCUGAGACCAAUGGAACUACUUCCAGCCUGGCUCCCUCAUCCAUCAUCCAGGGAAGGCUCCUUUACCAAAAUGACGCCGAACAACUGUCUUGCAGGGGUGGCACCCUCCGCUUCCUUUGGAGACACAGCUACGGAGGACCAGGAAAAGAAAGUUCUCGCCACCCAAGUCCCUGACGUCUCAAAUGGUUCAACAUAGGAAACCUAUAUAGUUUUAGCAAUGGAAAUGGCAUUAAAGGAGGCACCUUACCACCACUGUGCCCUAACAACCACUGACUUGUAGAGCUGAACCCUCCUAUAUGAGCUGUCUUCUCAGUGUAGAAUGUGAAUAGCCUAUUUGUAGCCUUAUCGCUUAGCAGAGUGCUUUGGAAGCACCAAACAAAUGCGCUUUUUUUCAUUCAUUCAUAUCUCUCAGUAUUUCAACAGUAUAUCUAUAUUGGAAAGACACUGUUGAUGGACAAUAAGUUGGAUCCAGAAUCAGAUUAGGAGGCAGUCAAGCCAGGUCACAUUUGGGAAAUCAAAACAGUGGUUUAAGUGAUCCCUAACUGUGUUUUACUGGAAAAGGCCAUCUCUUCUCUUCCCCUCCCUGCCUCCCCCUCUCCCCCAUCGCUGCUGCUCCUCCUCCCCUCCUCUCUAAUGUUAAUAUUCCUCUAAUCAUGUUUGGCCAACAAAUCACAGAUUACUAUCACCUCAGAAAAAUCAAACCCAAAGGGCAAUAGAAUCUUGACGGACAUAGGUGUCAGCACGUCAUCCAUAAUGACUGGACAUCAUUCAGAACACCGAGACAAGUGGGUCUGAUGUGGAGUGAAGGUGGAGGAUGACAGAUACCCCGAGUGUUGAACUGGUAUCUAUAAAAUGCUAAAUAGCCAGAGAAAGAUCUUCAGGAUAGUGGGAGAAUUCUCUCAGGAACUUAUGGAAAGAACUUAUGAGAAAUGCACAGGAUUAGAAGGUAUGAAAAAGAUGCAUGCAUGGAUAAAGUUCUCACUGAGACCACAGAUCUAUCAGAGAACAUUUGAGGCCACGAGACUUUCACAGACUGUUCCAUGGAUCAAAUCUUCUCUAAGUAUACGGAUCCUCCUACCAGUUCCAAUACAGUGUAAAAAUCAGUUCCUUUAUCCAGAUGACUGCCAAGAUUGGGCUUUCUGAAUGUUUCCGGGUUUGCUGUGGUGGAAAAGACAAUGUGACACAGUGAGGAGAAUGCUAUACUUGGAGUUAUAAGUUAAGACCUGGGCUUUGGUCUCAACUCUGACAUUUACUACACAUGUAACCCUAAACAAGUCAUUUAAACCCAUGAGCCUUAGUUUCACAUGUAAAUGGAGAUAAGAACACUACCUAUGUUAUUAUGAGGAAAGGAUUUUGUUAAAUGUAUAAAAAGCAAACUAUUAUUAUAUUUCAAUACUUCAAACAUAUAAGAUUUCAUCGGUGUGGUCCCUCCCUCCAACGUUGAUCCUGAUUCUGCUAUGCUUCAAUAGAUAAUCCUCAUGUAUUACAAGGGCUGAAAGAAUUCAUCACUGGUGGUUAAUCUCCAUAGUGAGGCUGCUCUUGGAAGGAGAGAUGUACAGACUGUUACCUGGCCCCUUCCCAAAAGUCUGUGCGGGCUGGUCAGACCCAUCAGACCUCGGAUUCCGUGGCCAUAGUCCUUGAGAACCUAGUAUGUCACCUCCAUACCAUGAUAAGACAGUGGAGCAACACUGUUAGAGAAUGAUUAUUGUUGUUUACUGUGAAAUGCUUCAAAUAUCCAAAGCUUUAUGAAAAGUAUGUGAAGCAGUCAAGGGUUCCCCAACAUUUCACGUUAAAAUGACACAGCUACUUGUUGCUUUGGAAUGGUAACCAGGUUGUGACAGAUAAGAAGAAAGAUCAGCAAAAGCUUACAAAACCAUGGCAAAUACUACACAAAGGAGGGUGAACUAAAUCCUCCAAAAGCAGCUGCUUCUCCUACAAGGAAUAAUGAUGAGAAUUCAGAGAUGUCGUAAGGUGAGGAAUCAUCCAGUAAGGGCCAGAGGAAAAGGAGUCCAGCGCUAUUAGCUGGUGACAUCUUGUUGAGAGGUAGGGAGGGAGGUGGUUAGUUGUUGACCUGUUAAGAAUAAGAGUGACAUCUGCUAUCUUUCUGGGGUGUACAGUGGGGACGUGACAGAGAACACCUCACCUCUGUCACACCAGAUGACUAGUAGCCACUUCUGAUGAUUCCCACAGGCACAAAUAAUACUGCUAGAAGGAACUGAGAAAGAUUCCUAACAAUCAUACUCAGGAAAGAAAGAGAAGGUCUAAGAAGAACAAGUAAUGUUUUCAUUGAGCUAUCACUGAUGUCAGGCUUCAUUUAAGAAAGGAAGAUUUGGGAAGUCAAUAGCUCUUACUGUGACUGGGUGUCUUAAAAUGGGAUUCAAGGACAGAUUAAAAUAUAGCAAUGCUGGGCCCUGACCACGGAUGGAGUAUAUGUAACAAGAAUUAGAAUGAGUGCAUUUGCUGAGAUUUUGCCAAUUUGGUCAAAAAUACUUUAAAUUAAAAAGGAAGGAGGAGAGGCAGCUAGAUG
Phascolarctos cinereus (koala) is the source of this 3290-nucleotide non-coding RNA. Lineage: Eukaryota; Metazoa; Chordata; Mammalia; Diprotodontia; Phascolarctidae. The record is from RefSeq and is a predicted model, not a curated record.